Long non-coding RNA from Spinacia oleracea (spinach), 972 nucleotides. RefSeq lists it as uncharacterized. NCBI's taxonomy places the organism in Eukaryota, Viridiplantae, Streptophyta, Magnoliopsida, Caryophyllales, Amaranthaceae. The record is from RefSeq and is a predicted model, not a curated record. The transcript is spliced from 3 exons.
UGGACCCCAAGCACACCCCCUUGUUCUUCACUCUUCCCAUUUACAAAUUCAGAAUUUUUGAUGGAAUUUCAACAACAAACCAAUUUCAAUUUCAAUUUCAAUCUCACUCUCACUCCUUGAUUUUUUUGUGAUUCGAACCAACCACCACCCACAACCACCGUCUGCCUACCACCACCGACCACCUAGCCUCAGCCACCCAGCACCACGCCACCACCACAUCGUAAUCACCUCAACCACUCGACCACCACCCUCACCCUGUUCCUCCCCUCCUUCGUGUCUCCCCUGCCUCCCUCUUUUCUUCCUCCUUGACGCACCACCCACGCAACACCACCACCUCCGACAACCCUCACCAUCCAGUGAACCAAUCUCCGCCCCAACACCACCGUCUAAUCGCCCUGCCUCAGCCGAGAACCACCCCAACCUCCCCUGUUUUUCGGCCACUUCGCGCCCCUUUCUCCCUCUCUCCUUUCGUUCUGCCACCACCAAAACCUCACCACCCUCACAGCCCUCCGGCGUCGAGUCACCUAAGCCCAGCCGCCACCUUUCCCUUCCUCCCUCCUCCCUUUCCUCCUCCUCGUGCGUCUCCUUUCCCCUCCCCUGUGCCGUGUCUCCUAUUUUCCAGAAACCCAAAAUAAGUUUCAAAUGAAACUUUGAUUUUAAUUCUCCUCAAACCCAAUUUCAGAUUGGGCCAACUUUCAAUUUGGGCUUUUUGGGUGAAUUGCAAACUGAAUUAAAUUGGACUCGGAGCUCAGGACGAACGAACCAAGGAAAAUCCUUAGCAAAAUCGUGGAAGUGAGGUACUGCGGGGAACGAUGGAAACGAUUAGUGGCGAGGAAUUUCACUUUGAUAAUUUCCACCUAGUUUAUGUUUUGAGUUUUAAUAGUUUAAUUAAAGAUUUUUAGUAAGUUAUGUACUUUUACUUUGGGAAUAUAAAUGAUCAUUAUGUUAAUUUUGGAGGAUUUAAUAGCUUAU